GAUCAUGGCGUCAGGAUGAACGCUGGCGGCGUGCCUAACACAUGCAAGUCGAACGGAGUUACGAGAGCUUGCUUUGUAACUUAGUGGCGGACGGGUGAGUAAUGUAUGAGCAACCUGCCUUUCAGAGGGGGACAACAGUUGGAAACGACUGCUAAUACCGCAUAAUGUAUUUGGGUGGCAUCACCUGGAUACCAAAGGAGCAAUCCGCUGAAAGAUGGGCUCAUAUCUGAUUAGUUAGUUGGCAGGGUAACGGCCUACCCAAGACUGCGAUCAGUAGCCGGACUGAGAGGUUGAACGGCCACAUUGGGACUGAGAUACGGCCCAGACUCCUACGGGAGGCAGCAGUGGGGAAUAUUGGGCAAUGGGCGAAAAAGCCUGACCCAGCAACGCCGCGUGAAGGAAGAAGGUCUUCGGAUUGUAAACUUCUUUUAUGAGGGACGAAGGACGUGACGGUACCUCAUGAAUAAGCCACGGCUAACUACGUGCCAGCCGCCGC
RNAcentral lists this ribosomal RNA (496 nucleotides) under uncultured bacterium. Its description in RNAcentral is "bacterial SSU rRNA". It matches the Rfam family "Bacterial small subunit ribosomal RNA", at positions 15 to 518 of the family's 1533-position model. The record is from RNAcentral.